Perca flavescens (yellow perch) is the source of this 3541-nucleotide RNA transcript. It is a transcript of the gene named phosphoribosylformylglycinamidine cyclo-ligase-like, with no coding region annotated. The transcript is spliced from 9 exons. The record is from RefSeq and is a predicted model, not a curated record. NCBI's taxonomy places the organism in Eukaryota, Metazoa, Chordata, Actinopteri, Perciformes, Percidae.
AUUAAACUAAGAAGUAUGGCCCAUACUGACCGUUCGCAAAACCCCGCCCUCGAACGGUCCUCGUCCAAUCCUAGCUCAGCAACUGUAACUAAGGAGAAGGACCCCUGUCAAACAUUGCGAUUUCAGCAAGAUGGUGAAACGAUGCGCCUACGGCACCUGCAAAUUUGACACCAGGUACCCCAAAAGUUUAGAGGGAGGGGCCGUUUUUUCCGCCUUUCCAAAGCCCAAGACCCAAGCGGAAAGAUGCCGACAAUGGAUUAAGCAGUGUGGGAGACCUCACUCACAGCUAAAUGCCUCGAAGAUUAAUAAGCAUAGCUACAUAUGUCUGCUCCAAGGUAACAGCGUUUCCCAACACCUGGGAGCAGGAGGAAGAAGAGAAACGGGUCAGCGCCGGCUCCUGACAAUAUAAAUGAAACAAAGGCAUCAAGCGAAUCCUCGCUGAGCCGAGAUGUAUUUACUGAAGCUGUCAGGACAGAGAGACGGAGCCCAAACCACCGGUGUGUUACUAUGUAGCCUGUCUAGCAGCUGUUUAAUUUACACUCUUAACUUUUUUUGUAGGUGUCAGAUUGGUGAUGGAGAGAGUGUGUAUGUCUGUAUAUGUGUGUGCUGCUUGUGUUUAGCUAUAGUAGUAUUAUUAUAAUAAUAUUAUUAUUAUUAUUAUUAUUAUUAUUAAUAAUACAAUACAAUAAUACUUUUGAGCAAGUCGGUUUAGAGCUGUGAAAAACUAUCCCUACUUGCAAAGUGUUUAAGGGCAAUAGUUGACGCAUGAUGCAAUGUUUGUCAAUUAUUUUCCUCGAUUAAUCAAUUGGUUGUUUGGUCUAUAAAAUGUCAGAAAAUGGUGAAGUAGUCGAUCAGUGUUUUCCAAAGCCCAAGACAACGUUCUCAAAUCUCUUUUGUCCACAAUUCAAAGAUAUUCAGUUUACUGUCAAAGAGGAGUGAAGAAACUAGAACACAUUUACAUUUAAGAAGCUGGAAUCAGAGAAUUCUGACCUUUUUUCCAUAAAAAAUGACUCAAACCGAUGACUCGAUUAUCAACAUAGCUGCCGAGUAGUAGUCGUCUUCGCAGCUCUAAUCCUGGCUGAGGUCUGUCAGUGUUUGGACAGAUGUAUGUACGGUAUAUUACCCUUUUCUUAUGUGUUUGUUGUUAAGUGAUGCUCUUAUUGAGACUGUAUGCUAUGCCCACACUGCUGAGCAAUCAGAUUUCUAGAGUCUCAUUUUGUCUUACUAAAAAACUAAACAAUUUCUUUAUAUCUUAUUGUCUCUAAAUGUAGCACUUGAAGCAGUUCAGCAUAUUUGAUAAAUUUGAUGUACUUACAUGAUUUUUGCAAUUUUUGGGUUGUAUGCACAUGGCUGAAUGCAGUUAUUGUAAGUUGUUUUGGAUAGAAGCAUCAGCUAAAUAAUUGUAAUGUAAUGAGUUGUGUCUCUGUAGAAUCAGUAGGGGAUUUGUCACACUGUUGAAAAGCUCUAACUGUUAGGACUGUGGUCAUAUUGUUUCUUUGGUCUGCUGUGUGUGCCCUGUGUUUUUUCUGUUGUGUUCAAUUUCAAAUGCAAAUAGGUGUGUGCCAUAGCCGUAAGAGGAUUGGUGGAGAGGUUUCAGGCCCGAACCUGUGAUUGGCUGCAGCUGGGGAAACCACCUGUUAUAAGGAGCCAAGAUGGCGCUUGUUUGUGGGCAGCAUGAUGUAUUCCUCUUCCUCCGCAAAUGGCCACACUAUUGAUUUGCGUUAGACUGUUUGUGGCUAUUUCGGAGACGGGGAAGAUAUGGGGCCUUUUCAUGUUGCGUUUACCAACUCUGAAUGGCCUUGCUGCAGCAGCAUGGUUUCGUCCUGCAGAAGUCAUGAUGUGAAGGUGGCAAGGCCACAGAAAGGCCGGGCGUCUACGCUCCAGGAAAGUACGACCUGGCUGACUUCUGUGUAGAAGCAGUGGAGCCCAGGCUCGGGCACAUCGCCAAGGGGGACCUCCUGAUAGGACCGGUCUCCUCUGGGGUCCCCAGCAACUGCUGCAGCCUGGUCUGCAAACUCCUGGAGAGGGCCAACCAGAGCUACAGCUCCCCUGCUCCCUUUUGGCAAGUUGGGACAGACUGUCGCUAUGCAGCCUCAGUGGAUGCCAUCUGGAAGAAGAAGAACUUUCUCCAGACGAGCUGAAGGGACAUCUUCUCUGAGCUGAAGCUCUGAGAGGCAGGAAUGAGCCUCCCCUACCGCUGAGCUCAAGAUGAGAGUGGCUAGUGUGGUGGAGGCCCUGGUGGCUCACUUGGGUCUGAGCAACCAGCGAGUGACUCUGGUGUCCCAUGACUAUGGAGACACUGUGGCCCUGGGGCUGCUCUUCAGGUAUGUGCAUGAUGAAUUGCUGACUGCCCUUCCCUCUCUGUUAUUUAUUUUUUACUCCUCAUGCACCCAAACCAGGACUGACCAAAACCGUACAGGACACCUCAUCAUUAACAGCCUGUGUCUUUCUAAUGGAGGUGCAGUCUGUUGUCUUUGGUCAUGUGUAUAUAUAUUAUUUUUUACACAACUAGGGUUAAGACGGCACCUUACACAUCAAACUUCAUACUAAUAAACCCCCCACCCAUUAAAGCAUGGUGUGUAGUGCGACUCCAAAAUGACCCCCUCUUGUUAACCCUUCUUAAAGCCAUCAUGCUGACCCCUGCAGGUCAUUUUGGAUCUCCCAGUGUCAUGGUGCAGCCCACAUCAGCAGCCAAACCCUGCACAGAACGGAGGACACAUCCAAUGUCAACUACAUCCCUCCGCCCCAAGAACCCCAGGAUUUCAAACACACUCAGUCAUUCAUGCUCUAAGAAGCUGGCCUUCCUCUGAGAACCCAUCACCCUCGCAAUAAGGUGCCAAACACUGGAUCAACUGAUUAACUUUCUCUCUGGACUCUGAAUGAGCUCUCCAUCUUCCAAUUCAUGCUAAUUUCAAUCUUCUUCCUGUACCGCUCCUUUUGGAUGGCAAGACUUCUUACUCUCUUGCUUUGCACUAUGUGGGUUGUGUGAUGUUCUGCCCCCCUGGUGGUCAUGUUGAAAUUCCAAUUGAUCCUUCUGAAUGAUCCAGGGAUGACUUGAGCUUUCUACAUACACACUUUGUUUCUUCCCUCAGUGAAUGGCCAAUGUUUUCAACUACUUUUUUUUUUUUUUUUUUAUACCAAAGACUGUGUAAUUAAAUUUUCUUGUAAAAGAGGGGAAUUCUUCUGUAAGCCAUAAAGAAAGCAUUGCUUUUAAUCUACUCAAACAUAAAUGUGGUUUACCUCAGCAUCUGCCAAUGUUUUGUCUUCUGUAACACCGGGGUUCCUGGGGGCCAGAGUGCCACACAAGACCCUUGUGAUGUUAGUAACUGACAAAGCCAGUCCAGGAGUGUGUGUGUGUACCUUGCCUUACUUUUUCUGUCUUUAUAAUUUGUGCCACUGUUUAUCAAUGUUUUAUCAAAAAUGGUGUGUCUGUUUUUAGACAGUGUGUGUAUGGAUUGUUCAGAGUUGACUUCUGUCUGUAUAGUUUCACCUGUACUAAUGUCUUGGGGCUUCCUGCUGCUCUGGUCUAAAAUCAUCUGGC